AUUGAACGCUGGCGGCAGGCCUAACACAUGCAAGUCGGACGGUAGCACAGAGAGCUUGCUCUCGGGUGACGAGUGGCGGACGGGUGAGUAAUGUCUGGGGAUCUGCCCGAUAGAGGGGGAUAACCACUGGAAACGGUGGCUAAUACCGCAUAACGUCGCAAGACCAAAGAGGGGGACCUUCGGGCCUCUCACUAUCGGAUGAACCCAGAUGGGAUUAGCUAGUAGGCGGGGUAACGGCCCACCUAGGCGACGAUCCCUAGCUGGUCUGAGAGGAUGACCAGCCACACUGGAACUGAGACACGGUCCAGACUCCCACGGGAGGCAGCAGUGGGGAAUAUUGCACAAUGGGCGCAAGCCUGAUGCAGCCAUGCCGCGUGUAUGAAGAAGGCCUUCGGGUUGUAAAGUACUUUCAGCGGGGAGGAAGGCGAUGUGGUUAAUAACCGUAUCGAUUGACGUUACCCGCAGAAGAAGCACCGGCUAACUCCGUGCCAGCCGCCGCGGUAA
This 504-nucleotide ribosomal RNA is filed under the name uncultured bacterium. Its description in RNAcentral is "partial 16S ribosomal RNA". It matches the Rfam family "Bacterial small subunit ribosomal RNA", at positions 29 to 523 of the family's 1533-position model. The record is from RNAcentral.